UGGGGACAUGCCACAGAGGGGUCAGGGGUCAGGAGGGGUCACAGGAACCUGACGCAAGGGGUCAGGGGUCAGAGGUCAGGAGGGGUCACAGGGACAUGGCAUGGACACAUGUCACCCCUGUCCCAGUGGGGACAUACCAGAGAGGGGUCAGUGGGGCCAGGGGUUAGGAGGGGUCACGGGGGUCACAGGGAUGUGGCAUGGUCAUGUGUCACCCCCGUCCCAGUGGGGACAUGCCACAGAGGGGUCAGGGGCCAGGGGUCAGGAGGGGUCACAGGAACCUGACACAAGAGGUCAGGGGUCAGAGGUCAGGGGUCGGGGGGCACAGGGAGCUGAUAGCAAAGGUCAGGGGGUCAAGAGGGGUCAAAGGAUCCGGACAGGAGGGGUCAUGGGGGUCAUAGGGAUGUGGCAUGGUCACGUGUCACCCCCGUCCCAGUGGGGACAUACUGCAAAGGGGUCAGGGGUCAAGGGUCAGGAGGGGUCACGGAGAGCUGACGUAAGGGUCAAGGGUCAGGAGAGGUCAAAGGGACCUGACAUGAGGGGUCAGAGGUCAGGAGGGGUCAUGGGGGCAUGUGUCACCCCUGUCCCAGUGGGGACAUGCCACAGAGGGGUCAGGGGUCAGGAGGGGUCACAGGAACCUGACGCAAGGGGUCAGGGGUCAGAGGUCAGGAGG
RNAcentral lists this long non-coding RNA (670 nucleotides) under Numida meleagris (helmeted guineafowl). Its description in RNAcentral is "lncRNA (ENSNMEG00000001866.1)". The record is from RNAcentral. Lineage: Eukaryota; Metazoa; Chordata; Aves; Galliformes; Numididae.